Molecule: ribosomal RNA, 499 nt
Filed under: uncultured bacterium
Lineage: Bacteria
Description: bacterial SSU rRNA
Rfam family: Bacterial small subunit ribosomal RNA
Source: RNAcentral
CUGGCGGCGUGCUUAACACAUGCAAGUCGAACGAGACGAUUGAAAGCUUGACUUUUGAAAGUCGAGUGGCAAACGGGUGAGUAACGCGUAGGCAACCUGCCUCUAGGAUGGGACAACAGUCCGAAAGGACUGCUAAUACCGAAUGAUGUAAGUGAUCCGCAUGGGUUACUUAUGAAAGAUGGCCUCUACUUGUAAGCUAUCACCUAGAGAUGGGCCUGCGUCUGAUUAGCUAGUUGGUGGGGCAACGGCCUACCAAGGCGACGAUCAGUAGCUGGUCUGAGAGGACGACCAGCCACAUUGGGACUGAGACACGGCCCAAACUCCUACGGGAGGCAGCAGUGGGGAAUUUUGGACAAUGGGGGCAACCCUGAUCCAGCCAUGCCGCGUGCGGGAAGAAGGCCUUCGGGUUGUAAACCGCUUUUGUUAGGAACGAAAAGGUAUCUGUGAACAACAGGUAUUGCUGACGGUACCUAAAGAAUAAGCACCGGCUAACUACGUG